This 440-nucleotide ribosomal RNA is filed under the name uncultured bacterium. RNAcentral's name for it is "bacterial SSU rRNA". It matches the Rfam family "Bacterial small subunit ribosomal RNA", at positions 338 to 769 of the family's 1533-position model. The record is from RNAcentral.
CCUACGGGUGGCUGCAGUGGGGAAUAUUGGUCAAUGGGCGCAAGCCUGAACCAGCCACGCCGCGUGAGUGAUGAAGGCCUUCGGGUUGUAAAGCUCUGUGGGGAGGGAAGAAAACGGCCGGCUCGAAUAGGGCCGGUCCUUGACGGUACCUCCUUAGCAAGCACCGGCUAACUCUGUGCCAGCAGCCGCGGUAAUACAGAGGGUGCGAACGUUGCUCGGAAUUACUGGGCGUAAAGCGCAUGUAGGCGGGGUCGCAAGUCAGAUGUGAAAUCCCCGAGCUCAACUCGGGAACUGCAUCUGAAACUGCGAUCCUCGAGUACCGGAGAGGGUGGCGGAAUUCCUGGUGUAGAGGUGAAAUUCGUAGAUAUCAGGAGGAACACCGGUGGCGAAGGCGGCCACCUGGACGGUCACUGACGCUGAGAUGCGAAAGCGUGGGGAGC